This 205-nucleotide long non-coding RNA is filed under the name Medicago truncatula (barrel medic). RNAcentral's name for it is "long non-coding RNA (MTRU_LNC002557)". The record is from RNAcentral. Lineage: Eukaryota; Viridiplantae; Streptophyta; Magnoliopsida; Fabales; Fabaceae.
GAUGGAUCCGGAACAUACUUUCGAAGUUGCGACACAUGGAAAACGUUGUGCAAAUUCGAAAGAUGCGGCGGUAAACCCACUCGGUAAGCCACCGUUCCAACUCUUUCCAAUAUCUGAUAUGGACCAAUGAACUUCGGGGUCAACUUCUUUGACUUCAAAGCACGUCCUACACCAGUCAUAGGAGUGACUCUCAAAAACACGUGGU